CAGGACGAACGCUGGCGGCGUGCUUAACACAUGCAAGUCGAACGAUGAAGCCCUUCGGGGUGGAUUAGUGGCGAACGGGUGAGUAACACGUGGGCAAUCUGCCCUUCACUCUGGGACAAGCCCUGGAAACGGGGUCUAAUACCGGAUAACACUCGCCGAGGCAUCUCGGUGGGUUGAAAGCUCCGGCGGUGAAGGAUGAGCCCGCGGCCUAUCAGCUUGUUGGUGAGGUAGAAGCUCACCAAGGCGACGACGGGUAGCCGGCCUGAGAGGGCGACCGGCCACACUGGGACUGAGACACGGCCCAGACUCCUACGGGAGGCAGCAGUGGGGAAUAUUGCACAAUGGGCGAAAGCCUGAUGCAGCGACGCCGCGUGAGGGAUGACGGCCUUCGGGUUGUAAACCUCUUUCAGCAGGGAAGAAGCGAAAGUGACGGUACCUGCAGAAGAAGCGCCGGCUAACUACGUGCCAGCAGCCGCGGUAAUACGUAGGGCGCAAGCGUUGUCCGGAAUUAUUGGGCGUAAAGAGCUCGUAGGCGGUCUGUCACGUCGGAUGUGAAAGCCCGGGGCUUAACCCCGGGUCUGCAUUCGAUACGGGCAGACUAGAGUGUGGUAGGGGAGAUCGGAAUUCCUGGUGUAGCGGUGAAAUGCGCAGAUAUCAGGAGGAACACCGGUGGCGAAGGCGGAUCUCUGGGCCAUUACUGACGCUGAGGAGCGAAAGCGUGGGGAGCGAACAGGAUUAGAUACCCUGGUAGUCCACGCCGUAAACGGUGGGAACUAGGUGUUGGCGACAUUCCACGUCGUCGGUGCCGCAGCUAACGCAUUAAGUUCCCCGCCUGGGGAGUACGGCCGCAAGGCUAAAACUCAAAGGAAUUGACGGGGGCCCGCACAAGCAGCGGAGCAUGUGGCUUAAUUCGACGCAACGCGAAGAACCUUACCAAGGCUUGACAUCGCCCGGAAAGCAUCAGAGAUGGUGCCCCCCUUGUGGUCGGGUGACAGGUGGUGCAUGGCUGUCGUCAGCUCGUGUCGUGAGAUGUUGGGUUAAGUCCCGCAACGAGCGCAACCCUUGUUCUGUGUUGCCAGCAUGCCCUUCGGGGUGAUGGGGACUCACAGGAGACUGCCGGGGUCAACUCGGAGGAAGGUGGGGACGACGUCAAGUCAUCAUGCCCCUUAUGUCUUGGGCUGCACACGUGCUACAAUGGCAGGUACAAUGAGCUGCGAUGUCGCAAGGCGGAGCGAAUCUCAAAAAGCCUGUCUCAGUUCGGAUUGGGGUCUGCAACUCGACCCCAUGAAGUCGGAGUUGCUAGUAAUCGCAGAUCAGCAUUGCUGCGGUGAAUACGUUCCCGGGCCUUGUACACACCGCCCGUCACGUCACGAAAGUCGGUAACACCCGAAGCCGGUGGCCCAACCCCCUUGUGGGGAGGGAGCUGUCGAAGUGGGACUGGCGAUGGGACGA
RNAcentral lists this ribosomal RNA (1452 nucleotides) under Streptomyces phaeochromogenes. RNAcentral's name for it is "bacterial SSU rRNA". It matches the Rfam family "Bacterial small subunit ribosomal RNA". The record is from RNAcentral. Lineage: Bacteria; Bacillati; Actinomycetota; Actinomycetes; Kitasatosporales; Streptomycetaceae.